Molecule: non-coding RNA, 250 nt
Organism: Pelobates cultripes (western spadefoot toad)
Lineage: Eukaryota; Metazoa; Chordata; Amphibia; Anura; Pelobatidae
Source: the annotation of a GenBank genome assembly
GUUGCUAGACAGUGCUCAUUUUUUGGUAUAAUAAUAGGUACAGGAUAAGGUUACAUGCAGGUAUUAAACUCUUUUCACCAUUUGCUGGAUACUUGCUUUAGAUAUGAGAGGUAAUAUAUCACCCUUUAGACCCCUAUAGCUACGCAUGAGUAAAGCUGGUGCAUUGUGACAGGUGAAUGACACAAGAUAAGAUUAGGAGAGUUGUUGUGACUUAGAUGAUGAUCAGAUCACAUUUUAUGACCAACUUGUG